UCAAACGCAGUGGGUGGGUAAGAGCAGAAGCUCGGUGAAGGGUCCCAUGUUCUAGAAUCUCAUCUGACCUACGCUCUCCUUCCUCUCAGGAGAACACCUUCUUCAUGCAGCAGUUUUCUUCUGGAAACCAGAAUACUGGAUACUGAACCAUAGCAAGGUUCACCCAGGUGGUCCCGGCUUGAGGAGGACUUACAAGGAACGUGGCAUUUUCAUCAUCUUUUCCUCAUCUUCCUCAUUGAGGAGAUCGAUGCUGAAGAGAUUAAAUACCUUGACCAACAUCACACAGCUGGCAGUGGCAGAGCCACUGUGCAAAGUGUGCACAGAGAGGGGAGGCCAUGUGAGGACACAGCAAGAAGGUGGCCGUCUAAAAACUUAAGAAAGAGGCCUAAG
Molecule: non-coding RNA, 390 nt
Organism: Microcebus murinus (gray mouse lemur)
Lineage: Eukaryota; Metazoa; Chordata; Mammalia; Primates; Cheirogaleidae
Source: RefSeq, a predicted model, not a curated record